UGCAUACGUAUUUACUGUUAUAGUAUUCCUUUUUUUAUGAAAUAAUAAAAUAUUUACAUUAUGUGUAGAAAUGAUUUGAAAAAGUCUAGAAAAAGUAGAUCCGGAGGAUCUUCUAUUCUCAAAGUAGCACUUAGGCCACAUUCAGGUUCUAAUAUUUCCUUCAGUUCAGAAAGUCCAUCUACAUCGAAAGUCAAGCGACGGGUUAGUUUUGCAGAAAAGAAUCAUGUUAAAGAAUUUUUAUCUGCGGAACAAGGAACUUUAUGGGACAAUACGUAUGAAGAAUUAUCGAAUAUAAAUACAGGACAAGUUGGUAUAAAUAAUCAGAAUCAUGAAACUUUUAAGAAUACUUCUCAUUCUACAAGUAAUGGUAUGAUAGAGAAUGAAAAUGAGAAUCUAAUGAAUGAUUCGUUAGAAUUAACAGAAUGUUUUGUUACACCGGGUUCCCUUAAAUCAAUGCAUACAGAAGAAAUUCUAUUAAACAAAUCAAUAUCUUUAGCAUAUCAAAAUGAAACUGACGAUAAAAAGAUUAAUAUGUCAAUUGAAUCAAAUCGGAACAUAGAUAUUUGUACGAGUAGGAGUAUAAAUGUUUACAAUGAUUUACCAAACUUUCAUAACAUAGAAGAUCCAGAUUUGAACAAAACUUGUAUCAAAGAUGUAUCUAUGGAGAUUACAGAAAUACCUUCUUUUUUUAAGCUUCCAAACGUAUCUACUAAGCGCAAACUAGAAUCAGAAGAUAAAGAAAACAUACCAAUGUCUGAUAUUAUCAUGGAAUCUAUUCAACAAAAGAAAACAUCUAUUUCAACAAAUGAAAUGAAUAUAUCAGAUGAAACACAAUAUUUUUUCAAUGAAAAUUUAGAAUUUACAGAAUGCUUACAGUCUAUAAAAGAACCGCUUCAUUUGCAGCAAAAACUUAGCAAAAUAAGUGCCUUUACUAAUAAUGAGAAUAUGACUGAUAAUCAAACUCAAAUAUUUAAAAAUGUAUCAAUGGAAAUGACGUGUGCCAUUCCAACGGUUUGUAAAACAAAUUCUAAAAAUCACAAUGUCGUUUUUCACGAUGCUUUGAUGGAUGAUAAGAGCGUAGUUACUUCAGUUAUCAACCAAAAAAAGAAAUCAAUUAGUAAAGAUAUAUCUCAUAUUGAAAAUGAUACAAGAUUUUUAAAGAAAAUGUUUAAUUCUGUUAACGAGACUAAAUUAAUGGAUGCAGCAAUGGAAAUUACAGAAGGGGUUUAUUCAUUACCUCAUUCAACAAGAGUUAAUAAUGUUACGGAUAUUGCGAUUGCUUUAAAUUGUAGUAGCCCCACCAUAAAAGAAAAGACAGUGUUAAAUGAUGAUUCGCUGGAAUUCACUGUACCUGUAGACAAUUUAUCUCGAGUAGUACAUAAUAUUGAUAAAGAAGAAUUACACCAAGUUACUUCUGCCAUAAAUGAUAAAACAGAGUUAAACAAUGAUUCGUUGGAAUUUACUGUACCCGUAAACAAUUUAUCUCGAGUAGUACAUAAUAUUGAUAAAGAAGAAUUACACCAAGUUACUUCUGCCAUAAAUGAUAAAACAGAGUUAAACAAUGAUUCGUUGGAAUUUACUGUACCCGUAAACAAUUUAUCUCGAGUAGUACAUAAUAUAGAUAAAGAAGAAUUACACCAAGUUACUUCUGCCAUAUAUGAUAAAACAGAGUUAAACAAUGAUUCGUUGGAAUUUACUGUACCCGUAAACAAUUUAUCUCGAGUAGUACAUAAUAUUGAUAAAGAAGAAUUACACCAAGUUACAGAAAUGAGUGCUAGUGCAAUGUCGAAUCAAAUUAGAUUAUCAUCAGAGAAAGAAGCUAGUAUCAUUAAAAAUAAACAAAGUGAAAAUAGUAACGUAGGAAAUCAAAUUUUAAACACAAAUGAAAAAUUAGAAAAAAAUAAUUGCUUAUUAGAUUCUAUGUAUAAAAUAACAAGAGAUCAUUCAAUGGAUGAAGUUGAAAAACCAACUAAUAUUCAAUUUAACAGUAGCAACGAUAAUAUAAAGAAAUCUGUGCAUCAGAAAACGAACGAUACAUUAAGUCCUUAUACAACGUAUUAUAAUGACGAUUUAAAAGAAAAAGAAACUGCACAUAAUCAUCAUACUUUAACUUCAUUAAUAUCAUCUUUCGUGUACGCAGAUAUGAUAGAAGAUGAUUCAUUUGUAAAAACGACACAUACAGUCCAGCAAGAAACACAAUCUAGUGAAAAUGUUAUAGACGUGAAUUCAGUAAAUGAUAUGGUUAAUGUACAAACAACAUGUAUUCAAUGUCCUGAAAUAUGUAUCACCAACGAUGAGCAGAUAGUGCAACAAUCUGAAAAUGAUCUUGAAUGUAAUUUCGAAGAUAAUAAUAUCCAAGUAGGUAAUGUUAUAAUUAACAAAGAAAAGAAUAAUCAACACGAUUCAGAUAAAGUUCCAAAUAAAAUUAAUGAAAUUCAUGAAAAUGUUUUUGAAAAUAAACUUAACAAUAAAAGACUUACUAAUACUUCUAUAGAACUAGAAGUUAUUCAAAGAGAUAAAAAAUUAGAUAAAAAAGACAAUAUUGAGAAUGAUUCAGCUGCAUGUAUAAUAAAGUCUAAGAAAAAUUCAUCCAUGGAUAUAAGUGAAUGCGCUAAUACUCAUAGUAGCAACAAUCAGAUUGUUUGCAGAUCAUCUGUUUUUUCACCGACAUUAAUUUCUGCUUACAAUCAAAAUAAAACGUGUAUUGAAGAAAAUAAUAUUACUCCAAUAGCUGACACGACAGACUUAAUAUGCAGCAUGUAUAUAACACAAAAUAAUGAGAAACUUUUGAGAGAAGAAGUUGCAUUGGAAAAAAACACUGGAGAAAAUUCCAGCCUUCAAGAGGAUAAAUUUUCUUUGCUAAUAAGCAAAUUAAAGAACCAUAUGCUUAGUGACGAUUGCAUAUGGAAUUUAUGUUAUGAGAAUAUAGAUAAACAAAUGAUAAUAGUUGGUUUUAUUUCUACAUCUUUACUGAUAGUAAUAAAAACUCAAAAUGAAGUCAACACCAACACGUGUAGGAUCAAAGACGUUAAUGUAAUUUCACGAUUAGAAAAUGAUGAAAAUUUGUUGUUAAGUAUUGCACACAAAUUAUUAAAGGAGAAAAUAAAUUUAGAAUAUAUUCGUCAAUCAUAUAUAUAUGAAGAAGAUAUUAUUCCCUUGUUAAAUCAUAUUUCAGAAGAUGUGAAAUUCAUAUUAGAUUUUAUAUUUGAUUUACAAAAAUUGGAUGAUACAAAUUUAAUGGAAAUAAGUACAGAAAGCAUAACAUUUAUAUUAAGAAGUAAAUGCAUGGACAUUAUAUUGAAAAUUACAAUGGAUAUUAAAUUAUUUGAUAAAAUAAAUUCAUCACACAUCAAGAUCGUUUCUAUUUUGGGUACUGUAAUAGAGGAAGAAAUUCAAAAGUUACUUUUAAAUGUAAAAAGAGAUCAUAAAUUUUUAAGGAGAUACAUGUCUGACAUUAAGGAUUAUAUUGAUAUAAUAGAACAAGUUAAUUUUGCAAAAGAAAUGCAAAAUGAAUUACAAAAAGAAACAAAAAGAAAAGGAAAUUAUAAAUGAUUGAAAUGUAAAAUAUUUAUAGAUGGGUCGAACUGAUGUACAAACGUAAAAGAUUUACAUGUUUAACUAUAUGUAUAAAAUAAUUGUAUUAAUAUUAUGUAGAAUGUGAUAUAAAACUUAUAUUUUAAAUACAUUUCUUUAUAUAAUUAUAUUGUAAUUAUAUUAAGUUAUUAACGAGGAAAAUUCGUUGGGAAUUUUUAAUAUUUUAUAUGCAAAAAGAGCAGGUAUAUACAUACAAACAGGUUGAUCGACUAGCUUCGAUGAAGCCGGUUCGGACUAUGCAGGUUUUUGUUAAUACACUUGUAGUUCUUUGGGUAGUAGCGUGUGAACAACUGGCUUCCCAUAGAAUCAUUCGAGUUUCCGUUUAAUUCUUAAGAAAUAAUUAUCAUCGAUACGUAUGAUUAGAAUUACCAAGAAUGUGCAAUCAAAAAGUUCUUCGUUUCUUUAUAUUAUUGAUAAUUAAUUUUAUGACAAUAAAUAUUAAUCUGAUAA
This 4044-nucleotide unclassified non-coding RNA is filed under the name Polistes fuscatus (common paper wasp). RNAcentral describes it as "putative histone-lysine N-methyltransferase 1, transcript variant X2". The record is from RNAcentral. Lineage: Eukaryota; Metazoa; Arthropoda; Insecta; Hymenoptera; Vespidae.